GCGUAAGUUUGUUUUAUUUCGCCCAUUUUUGUUUCGCUAUUGUCAAGAACACAAGCAAAAUGGUUUAUAGUUGUUGCGUCCAAGGAUGUAAAACUAAAAGCGGCCAGAAUAUAAAGAUGAGAAAAUUUCCUCCAGUUAAUUCUCCACUGUUCGAACAAUGGAAAAUUGCUACGAGGAAUAAUUUAUUGCAAGAUAAGGAUAGUCACUAUAUAUACUGUAUUACUCAACACCUGCACUAAUAUUAUUAUCAAUAAUAUUAAUUUGUGAAUGACCAUCUAUAUGUAUGUGGACAACAUUGGAGAGACUCGAUGGAUCAAACAUGAGUAAACGUGAACCAUCUAUGAGAAUGAAGUAUAGGAUGUGGACCAUCUAUGAUG
Molecule: long non-coding RNA, 377 nt
Organism: Nicrophorus vespilloides
Lineage: Eukaryota; Metazoa; Arthropoda; Insecta; Coleoptera; Silphidae
Exons: 3
Source: RefSeq, a predicted model, not a curated record